This is a long non-coding RNA of Larimichthys crocea (large yellow croaker), 1360 nucleotides long. RefSeq lists it as uncharacterized. Lineage: Eukaryota; Metazoa; Chordata; Actinopteri; Sciaenidae. The transcript is spliced from 3 exons. The record is from RefSeq and is a predicted model, not a curated record.
AGGGAGUGACACCCUCUGUCCUUAGACCCUCGGUUCGAGUUAGGAAAAACAGAAACUGGUGAAACUAUCAGAUUGUGGUCACUAUAGUAAAGAAACCUGUUCGUGCACCGACAGAACAAGUCUAAGGAUAGUGCAGAGAGAAGUAGAUUAUCGCUGAUGUGAGAAAUAUACGAAAAUCUUGUUUCGGUGAGCAGAGCAGAGAGCACCGCGGCAGCAACACCGAUAACCGGAAGUGACACAAUACGUUACUGCAAAGCACAGCAUCCUGUCUCUUUGACUCGGACAGUGUGCAAAACUGUGUCUUUCCAUCGUCAUUAGUGUAAUCUGUGGCAGAUUUGUCCAGAACAGACACAUCUUCCAAACAGAUGCUAGAUACUGUGACAUAACAGAAGGGCUUCAGAGCACAGAAUGAAGAAAAGAGAAGUGGGGUUCCUAGAGGAAAUCAAUGGGGAAGUUGAUCAAUGAGUCUGCUUAUCAGUUAUCACAGUUAUAUCAGUUAUCACACAUGCAGAGUUCAGGGAGAAAUCCUGACCGUUUUGUGUUGUAUUCUUAGGAAUAUUGUAAUGGCUGUGUCUUAUCUCCCACUACUUCCACUGAACAUUGAUUUUGUCUGCACAAGCCAGUGUUACAUCAAUCAAUAAAUCAACCAACCAAUCAUGUUAAAUAAAUGGACAUCUGAUUCCAUAGUCAUAUUCAAAUACAUUUUUCAUGACUUUUGUAUUAAAAGAAAGUAUGGCUAGAGAGAAAUUGUCAGUUGAGGAGCGAAGGAGAAGAAAUAGAGACUACCAAUGAAAGAAGAGAAAAAUUAAACAGUGACCCAGAGAAGAAAUAUGCUAUGCAAGCGGAGAAAAGACAAAGGUGGAAGAGGAGAGUUCAAGACAAAGAAGUAAUACAGAUAGACAAGAUGAGAGACAGGGCAAAGAGGAAUCAGAGAAAGUAUUGGAGAGAGGCACAGAAAAGGCCCAGACAGAAAAGGUUCUGUGAAUGUGCAGUGCAGUGUUUUGCCCGGGCUCUCAAGAAUCAGUGAAAGAACAGAUGCACAAUGAGUGUAUAACACUUUCUUUGUUAGCUACAAAUGCAGACAUCGCCUGUGAUUACACUUCAUACCCCAUCUACCCAUUUGCCUUCAGGACCCACACACACCAACUUGGCAAAGUGGUCAGUGGCUAUAGGAUCAGAGAUGGAAAGUGGAGCCUGAUUGGGAGACAGUCCCCUCAGUUACCGCAGGCUUUCUAUCCUACUAAGAAGGAGGUGCAUGUGAAGUAUGGUGACACCAUUGCAGCCAGAUGUGGGUUUACUGGUGAGGGCAGAACCUCUAAGACUUAUAUUGGGUGAGUUCCAAUUCUCCUAAUGGAUUUUU